Molecule: long non-coding RNA, 670 nt
Organism: Pogoniulus pusillus (Red-fronted tinkerbird)
Lineage: Eukaryota; Metazoa; Chordata; Aves; Piciformes; Lybiidae
Exons: 2
Source: RefSeq, a predicted model, not a curated record
UCGCUGUGGCGGCUGAGCCGGGGCAGCAACAAGCCGGCAGAGAGAAUUCCCGCCCGUCUCAGCCCCAUCGUCCCUCAGAGCGGGCAGGUGCCUUCCACCCGCAGCCACUGCUCCUACCCCGGCGGCCGCCCGCAUGGUGCCGCCGCGCUUCCACAACUGGAACGCCAGCGCCGGGCGGGGGCCGCCAUCCCCAAGCCGCCAGCCUCGCCCUGCCCCUGACUGACGCAGACCUCAUCCACUCAGGUCCCCCCGUCCCGCCCAAGGGGCAGGGGGAAGGGGGCACACUCCCCUCCCCUUCGUCCCUCCUUCAGGGCUGCGUCGGCAGCUGCUCUCACCUGUGCGCCGCACGGCAUCUGCCAGCGGGCAGCGCAGCCCUCCCCUGGCAGCCCCUGGGGCGAAACCGGCUCUGAGCGGAGGGAAAGGGCCCAAAGCCGCGGCUGGAGGCAGCCCUCCCCUGGCAGCCCCUCGGGCGACACCGGCUCUGCUCGCGUGGCGGCUGCCGCCUCCGUCUGACAUGUGCCGCUCCUGUCACUGCUCCUCCUCAGCACCUCUGUGGUCCUGGGGUGUGAGCAGGAUGUCAGCACCUGGAUUCCAGAGACAAAAACCAUUUGCAAGCAGAGGAACUUUUGAGAGCAUUUAGCUGAUCCAAUAUAACAAAAUCUUUGCCUAA